ACGGGAGGCAGCAGUGGGGAAUAUUGCACAAUGGGGGAAACCCUGAUGCAGCAACGCCGCGUGAGUGAUGAAGGUCUUCGGAUUGUAAAGCUCUGUCUUUAGGGACGAUAAUGACGGUACCUAAGGAGGAAGCCACGGCUAACUACGUGCCAGCAGCCGCGGUAAUACGUAGGUGGCAAGCGUUAUCCGGAUUUACUGGGCGUAAAGGGAGCGUAGGCGGAUACUUAAGUGGGAUGUGAAAUACCCGAGCUUAACUUGGGUGCUGCAUUCCAAACUGGGUAUCUAGAGUGCAGGAGAGGAGAAUGGAAUUCCUAGUGUAGCGGUGAAAUGCGUAGAGAUUAGGAAGAACACCAGUGGCGAAGGCGAUUCUCUGGACUGUAACUGACGCUGAGGCUCGAAAGCGUGGGGAGCAAACAGGAUUAGAUACCCUGGUA
Molecule: ribosomal RNA, 434 nt
Filed under: uncultured Sarcina sp.
Lineage: Bacteria; Bacillati; Bacillota; Clostridia; Eubacteriales; Clostridiaceae
Description: partial 16S ribosomal RNA
Rfam family: Bacterial small subunit ribosomal RNA
Source: RNAcentral